Juglans microcarpa x Juglans regia is the source of this 140-nucleotide long non-coding RNA. RefSeq lists it as uncharacterized. NCBI's taxonomy places the organism in Eukaryota, Viridiplantae, Streptophyta, Magnoliopsida, Fagales, Juglandaceae. The record is from RefSeq and is a predicted model, not a curated record. The transcript has 2 exons.
AAACAUCCUCCUACAGCUUAUUUGUUCCCACAGAUAUAAGGGGAUGUACGGAUCCAAGCAGCACCAGGUGCACCAAUGCAGGUUGUACUUUAUUCAAUACAACAUAUUGCGGCUGGCUACUUUAGUCAAAAGCCAGGAAA